ACAGCCAUGUCGCGUUGAAAUACCGAUUCUCGUACGAUCACAGAAGUUAAGCAACGUUGAGCCUGGUCAGUAUCUAGAUGGGUGACCACUUGGAAAUACCAGGUGGUGUA
Acanthosepion pharaonis is the source of this 110-nucleotide non-coding RNA. NCBI's taxonomy places the organism in Eukaryota, Metazoa, Mollusca, Cephalopoda, Sepiida, Sepiidae. The record is from the annotation of a GenBank genome assembly.